UUCCUCUCUUGGGUUCUCUUUUCACGGAGAGGUGGCUAGUGGGAACAUGCUGGGCAUCUUGGCAUCUUGGUGUUGGCUACAUCUAUUGUCUGGGUUUGUCGGUCAUGUGUACUUCCAAAGCUUUUCAACUAGUUCCGUUGGGGAAGACUCACUUGAGAGAAGCUCUUCUGCUAUAAUGGGACCAUGGAGUCCUGGAUGUAUGGUAGCAGAUUAUCCCCACAAAAGUCCUUCUCAAAUGUCUCAUCCUGGCAUGUAGAAGGUUCUGGGUCCUAGAAAGAGAUUUCAGCAGAGCCCGUGCCAAGGAAGAAAGCCUUUGAUUUAAUGAUCCUGUUUGUCACCAGAGGAUAAGAUUGUUUGAAGUGGCUCUUCAUAUACUAACAAAGAAAGAGAUUGGGAUUUGUCAUCUUUGCCAGUCUGAAGAACGUAAAGUGAAAUGUCAGAGGAUGGAUUUGAUGAAAGCUCAAGAGAAGAGAGAUCUUGGAUUCUAGUUUCAAGAGAGAAGACAUGCAGUUUCAUACUUCAAGUUCCUGAAGGGAGAGGAAGACUGGAGAAAAGGUCAACAUGAGGAGAAGUCAUGAAAUUUUCCCUAUGCCCAGUUUAUCACAUUAAAGACUUUAGGAAAUUAUCCUUGAAAUUGUCUUGGUUGAA
RNAcentral lists this long non-coding RNA (648 nucleotides) under Monodelphis domestica (gray short-tailed opossum). RNAcentral's name for it is "lncRNA (ENSMODG00000034459.2)". The record is from RNAcentral. Lineage: Eukaryota; Metazoa; Chordata; Mammalia; Didelphimorphia; Didelphidae.